AGGCGCCCCGCAGCCUGAUCCCUCGGCUGAGGCGGGGUCAGAGGGCUAAGGGUGACUGACUGCCCAGUGCAUGGAUCUCAGCAGCACGGCUUGACUUUCGGGCGGCAGGCAAGGAUGCUAAUCCACAAGGUUCCUGAGUCCAACAUCCCUCCCUCCAAUGUGGGGCUCGAAUCCGCUAUUGCAACCAAACCCGGGUUCUGCCCGCAGGGUGGCGCAAUGACAAGAGCCACCAGGUGACCCUGGUAACUCCCGCACCUAGCUCCUGGGUUCCUGAACUUCAAGCUGGGCCCCAUCCUUCACCCUAUCAGGGCCCUGGGUGGAGCUGACUUCCAACAGUAUACAGUGGGUCUUGGUACUUCCUCCUUGGCAUUCGACAGUUGGUGUUUUUGAAGUCAGAGCCAUCCUCAGUAGGCUCCUAGGGGAUCGUAAGCGGCUUUCUCUGGGUGGAAACCUACUCCAUGCAGCCUUCAGCAAAGGAUCCUACGGCUGUUGAUCCCCUCGGAAGUGAGACAUAAUGUCCCGGAGCAGAUGCUGAUGGGGACUCACUGUUGGGCCACCUGAUUUCUGUGUUCAUCUUCCCAGGCUCCACCUUUCAGAUCCCAUCCCUGGUGUCUGCAGUUACAACUUUACUAACCAGAACUUUGUUUCCAGCUUACGCUGAAAAGCAAAGGGUGACUUAGAAUAAAAAUGUAACAAAUAGCCCCAUAGCCCAAACCUUUUCUGCCAUGAUUUACUGUACCAGAUACCUAUAAGUGUCCAGGGCAAAUUAAACACAUCAAUAAAUGG
Molecule: long non-coding RNA, 786 nt
Filed under: Mus musculus (house mouse)
Lineage: Eukaryota; Metazoa; Chordata; Mammalia; Rodentia; Muridae
Description: cytoplasmic endogenous regulator of oxidative phosphorylation 1
Source: RNAcentral